UACGUAGGUGGCGAGCGUUGUCCGGAAUUACUGGGUGUAAAGCGCGUGUAGGCGGGAGGCCAAGUCUGUGGUGAAAUCGCUCGGCUUAACUGGGCGGGGUCCAUGGAAACUGGUCACCUGGAGGUCGGUAGAGGCAAGUGGAAUUGCCGGUGUAGUGGUGAAAUGCGUAGAGAUCGGCAGGAACAGCCCAGGGGGAAACCAGCCGACUGGGCAUUGCUGACGCUGAGGUGCGAGAGCGUGGGGAGCGA
Molecule: ribosomal RNA, 248 nt
Filed under: uncultured bacterium
Lineage: Bacteria
Description: partial 16S ribosomal RNA
Rfam family: Bacterial small subunit ribosomal RNA
Source: RNAcentral